Long non-coding RNA from Arabidopsis lyrata subsp. lyrata, 415 nucleotides. RefSeq lists it as uncharacterized. The transcript has 4 exons. The record is from RefSeq and is a predicted model, not a curated record. NCBI's taxonomy places the organism in Eukaryota, Viridiplantae, Streptophyta, Magnoliopsida, Brassicales, Brassicaceae.
GAAUUGCAUAAAAUUAGGAUUCGAAGAAACGUUUUUCGUAAAUCUAUUUUGUGUCCGUGAAUUUGGAUUUUGUGAUUCUAUUUUUUUUUAACGUUUGUAGAGUUGAAUUUUGAAGCGGCAAGCGUAUCUUCUGAUUGUUUCUCUCAUUGCCUCUGAUUCGGCAGCACCUUUCAAGUUUGGUACUCCACCGCCGAUAGACUAACAUACUCAAUAAUCGGUCCAAUUCUAAUAGAUGUCCCUUGGAUGUAACACCUGAAGCAACAAAAGUGGUGAUCGAAGCUGAGAUUUCAGGCCUUUCUCUUCAUCUUGAUUAAAGUGUCAAAUAAGAUGAAGGAUCCGGUCAACAGACUGGUGGUAAGUCUUUCUCGAAGAAAGGUGAGAUCCCAAGUACCGGGUUUGAUUCGAAGAAAUUGAC